GCAGUUGAGCGCUGAAGGUUGGUACUUGUACCGACUGGAUGAGCAGCGAACGGGUGAGUAACGCGUGGGGAAUCUGCCUUUGAGCGGGGGACAACAUUUGGAAACGAAUGCUAAUACCGCAUAACAACUUUAAACACAAGUUUUAAGUUUGAAAGAUGCAAUUGCAUCACUCAAAGAUGAUCCCGCGUUGUAUUAGCUAGUUGGUGAGGUAAAGGCUCACCAAGGCGAUGAUACAUAGCCGACCUGAGAGGGUGAUCGGCCACAUUGGGACUGAGACACGGCCCAAACUCCUACGGGAGGCAGCAGUAGGGAAUCUUCGGCAAUGGACGAAAGUCUGACCGAGCAACGCCGCGUGAGUGAAGAAGGUUUUCGGAUCGUAAAACUCUGUUGGUAGAGAAGAACGUUGGUGAGAGUGGAAAGCUCAUCGGGUGACGGUAACUACCCAGAAAGGGA
Molecule: ribosomal RNA, 453 nt
Filed under: Lactococcus lactis subsp. lactis
Lineage: Bacteria; Bacillati; Bacillota; Bacilli; Lactobacillales; Streptococcaceae
Description: bacterial SSU rRNA
Rfam family: Bacterial small subunit ribosomal RNA
Source: RNAcentral